ACAGCAGUAGCCGCGGUAAUACGUAGGUGGCAAGCGUUGUCCGGAUUUAUUGGGCGUAAAGCGAGCGCAGGCGGUUUCUUAAGUCUGAUGUGAAAGCCCCCGGCUCAACCGGGGAGGGUCAUUGGAAACUGGGAGACUUGAGUGCAGAAGAGGAGAGUGGAAUUCCAUGUGUAGCGGUGAAAUGCGUAGAUAUAUGGAGGAACACCAGUGGCGAAGGCGGCUCUCUGGUCUGUAACUGACGCUGAGGCUCGAAAGCGUGGGGAGCGAACAGGAUUAGAUACCCGAGUAGUCCCUGUCUCUUAUAC
Molecule: ribosomal RNA, 305 nt
Filed under: uncultured bacterium
Lineage: Bacteria
Description: partial 16S ribosomal RNA
Rfam family: Bacterial small subunit ribosomal RNA
Source: RNAcentral